Punica granatum (pomegranate) is the source of this 718-nucleotide non-coding RNA. The record is from RefSeq and is a predicted model, not a curated record. NCBI's taxonomy places the organism in Eukaryota, Viridiplantae, Streptophyta, Magnoliopsida, Myrtales, Lythraceae.
AUUUUCAGGGAGGGCUCUGUUCUUUGACAGAAAGGAGAAAAAAAACAGGGCACGAGAGAGAGAGAGAAAGAGAGAGAGAGAGAGAGAGCUCCAUUCGAGAGCAGAGAUAGGACGGACGAUAGAGGGGUAGAGAGGAUAGCCGGGAGCUCGGGAUGAAACUCAUGCAAGAGAGGGUCGAGUUUCAGCUCUGUUCACGGGAAGAAGAAUAGAGCAGACCCGAUUAGAGAAACAACGCGAGGGAGAAACGACGGCAGAGCAAGAUCGAAGAAGAAGAAGAAGAGUAAAAGGAAUGAUAGGUUCGGGGAGUCUUCCAACCUAGCUUGCAUUCGAGUAACGGGGAUCGCGGAGACUGAAUCCUAGCACUAAAAGGGUCGAUCCAAUGAGCUCUAUUUCUUGGAAUUGUCGAUAAGCUCCCAAUUGUGCGGAUGAACCACUUUUUGAUAUCGGGGAUCAGCUCGAAGAACUAGGUAGGAAUCCUUAGUUAGUUGAUAGAUAUUCUUCUGUAUAGAAGGGACUUGAAAAUGUUACGACCUGAAAAUUUUGUUUAGUUGUAUCACUGAUGUGAGAGUGAAAAAGAAAUUUCCGAAAAAGUGUGUCUACAUAUUAGAGUUAAUGGAUUGGUUAUAUACUUCGGAAAUUUAUUGGAAAUCAGGUUUCUAUGUGAACAGUUAUUAUAUGAUAAUGGAUUCGAGGAAAUAUAGCAAAAAUUUUAUUGUAA